This is a non-coding RNA of Pimephales promelas (fathead minnow), 700 nucleotides long. The record is from RefSeq and is a predicted model, not a curated record. Lineage: Eukaryota; Metazoa; Chordata; Actinopteri; Cypriniformes; Leuciscidae.
UCUAGGACCUUCUUGCUGUGAGGUGACAGUGCUAAACACUGAUCCACUAUGCAAUCCAUUACAAUUAAAUCAUACUUUAUAAAAGUCAAACAGCUUAACUAGAGUGUACAGUACUUUAUAUGAGUUAUUCACCUGAAAUAAUGUAUUAUAUUAUUUUCUUUUCGCCCUAGGUGCAGAGAGUGUCUUCCUGAUGAGUGGUUCUGUGGGGACUGUGAUGUAUUGCAUCACAAAAAACAGCCACUCCACAACAGGGAAUGUGUGAUUCGUGGUUUUUUUGAAGCCAUUCCUCCGACCACAUGCAUCAUUAAAGGGGAAGAUGGAUAUUGCACCCAUGAGCAAGCUUGCAUUUUGCCAACUGUAAAGGUUCCAGACUGCUCCUGUGGAGGCACAAAUUUCACCAUGUUACCAGGCAAACCAGUGAUUUUAAUUACCAUCAAUGGGCGCUUUGACUUGCAUCAGCCACUGUAUGAAUGUCAAACAUGCAAGCAGCAGUGGACCCCUGACAUGAAGGACCUCCUCAGAAGUGGAUAUUGGCCAGCCUCCAUCACCAAUUCCACACUUUAUACAUUGGACCUCCUGAGCUCCUUUAAGGAACUCAAGAUCAUUUCUCCAGGAUUCUCCAGACAAGCCUUUGCAAAACUGCUGGAACAUCGCACUAAGUGUGGAGGAAGAUCUGGACCUAUCAAUGGCGAUGCCCUGC